GAUGAACGCUGGCGGCGUGCUUAACACAUGCAAGUCGAACGAUGAAGCCCAGCUUGCUGGGUGGAUUAGUGGCGAACGGGUGAGUAACACGUGAGUAACCUGCCCUUAACUCUGGGAUAAGCCUGGGAAACUGGGUCUAAUACCGGAUAGGAACGUCCACCGCAUGGUGGGUGUUGGAAAGAUUUAUCGGUUUUGGAUGGACUCGCGGCCUAUCAGCUUGUUGGUGAGGUAAUGGCUCACCAAGGCGACGCCGGGUAGCCGGCCUGAGAGGGUGACCGGCCACACUGGGACUGAGACACGGCCCAGACUCCUACGGGAGGCAGCAGUGGGGAAUAUUGCACAAUGGGCGAAAGCCUGAUGCAGCGACGCCGCGUGAGGGAUGACGGCCUUCGGGUUGUAAACCUCUUUCAGUAGGGAAGAAGCGAAAGUGACGGUACCUGCAGAAGAAGCACCGGCUAACUACGUG
This 466-nucleotide ribosomal RNA is filed under the name uncultured bacterium. Its description in RNAcentral is "partial 16S ribosomal RNA". It matches the Rfam family "Bacterial small subunit ribosomal RNA", at positions 28 to 507 of the family's 1533-position model. The record is from RNAcentral.